Molecule: unclassified non-coding RNA, 651 nt
Filed under: uncultured fungus
Lineage: Eukaryota; Fungi
Description: sequence contains ITS1, 5.8S rRNA gene, ITS2
Rfam family: 5.8S ribosomal RNA (bases 238-390)
Source: RNAcentral
CAGCGGAUGGAUCAUUACCUGAAAUGAAAUAAAGCCAAUUUUGGUGUGGUUGACUUUGUUAACCUCUGGACGUGGCUGGUUAAUCAGCCUGCCAGAACUUGUAGUGUGCAAUGACGUGAGUCGCACGCUUGAUGAGUGAAGGGAUUGCUGGAUCGGACGACAAGUCCAGGCGAGAUGCAACCUCAACCCCUGAGACUGCCAUUGACUUCACUGAAGCGAUUGUCUUAAAAAAAUGACAACUGCUGGCCGUGGAUCACUUGGCUGACGGAUCGAUGAAGAACGUAGCAAACUACGUUAAACGGUGUGAAUUGCAGAACACGCAGAACACUGGAACUUUGAACGCACAUGGCAGGUUAGUGUUUUAACUAACCUUUGUCUGUGUGAGGGUUGUAAACAGAGAAUCAAGGAUAUUUUUUGAAGAGCGGGGAGGUUGCCUAUUAAAUGUGCGACAUGCCCGCUGAUAACAAUAAACACACACUUGUGUUGCGCCUCUGGCUAGCGUCGGAGGAUAACGGCAACUGGACAAGUGUAAGGAUAGAGGAGUUUGCUGGAGUUGAUGCGCUGUCUACAGUGUAUUCAGAAGCAGUAGUUCCCUAUCCUGCCUUUCUUUCUCACAACCUCACAUCAGGCAAGAUUACCCGCUUAAUUUAA